UACGAAGGGGGCUAGCGUUGCUCGGAAUCACUGGGCGUAAAGGGUGCGUAGGCGGGUCUUUAAGUCAGGGGGGAAAUCCUGGAGCUCAACUCCAGAACUGCCUUUGAUACUGAAGAUCUUGAGUUCGGGAGAGGUGAGUGGAACUGCGAGUGUAGAGGUGAAAUUCGUAGAUAUUGGGAAGAACACCGAUGGCGAAGGCAGCCAUCUGGACCGACACUGACGCUGAGGCGCGAAAGCGUGGGGAGCAAACAGG
This 253-nucleotide ribosomal RNA is filed under the name uncultured bacterium. RNAcentral's name for it is "partial 16S ribosomal RNA". It matches the Rfam family "Bacterial small subunit ribosomal RNA", at positions 524 to 776 of the family's 1533-position model. The record is from RNAcentral.